AAUGAAUUGCCUGAUAAAAGGGCUACCUUGAUAGGGUAAAUCAUGUGAUUAAUAUCACAUUCAUUA
Molecule: transfer RNA, 66 nt
Filed under: Empis separata
Lineage: Eukaryota; Metazoa; Arthropoda; Insecta; Diptera; Empididae
Description: tRNA-Ile
Source: RNAcentral